This 77-nucleotide transfer RNA is filed under the name Candidatus Omnitrophota bacterium. RNAcentral's name for it is "tRNA-Arg". It matches the Rfam family "tRNA". From Rfam's summary of the family: Transfer RNA (tRNA) molecules are approximately 80 nucleotides in length. Their secondary structure includes four short double-helical elements and three loops (D, anti-codon, and T loops). The record is from RNAcentral. Lineage: Bacteria; Pseudomonadati; Candidatus Omnitrophota.
GCGCCUGUAGCUCAAAUGGAUAGAGCAACUGCCUUCUAAGCCGUAGGUUGGCCGUCCGAUUCGGCCCAGGCGCACCA